UAGCAACCCUAAAUUCUAUACCUGCACUCAAUUUGUUUUUGCUUUGUAUAGGUCUUCAAGAAGUGAGGGGAGUCAAAUGUCAACUCGUAAAGCAUGCCUGUUUCUGAGUUGCCAUAAGCAGGGGACCAGAAGUAGAUUCCACGCUUAUCUUACCAAGAUUGUAGCUAGGCUACCAGAUCUUCUGCCCGUGAAAAUCCUUCAUUGGAGAAUGUGAUUGAUGACACCCAGC
Molecule: non-coding RNA, 229 nt
Organism: Notechis scutatus (mainland tiger snake)
Lineage: Eukaryota; Metazoa; Chordata; Lepidosauria; Squamata; Elapidae
Source: RefSeq, a predicted model, not a curated record